Molecule: ribosomal RNA, 253 nt
Filed under: uncultured bacterium
Lineage: Bacteria
Description: partial 16S ribosomal RNA
Rfam family: Bacterial small subunit ribosomal RNA
Source: RNAcentral
UACAGAGGUCCCGAGCGUUGUUCGGAUUCAUUGGGCGUAAAGGGUGCGUAGGCGGUCUGCUAAGUUUGAUGUGAAAUCCCGGGGCUCAACCCUGGAAUGGCAUUGAAUACUGGCGGACUAGAGUACGGAAGAGGCGAGUGGAAUUCCUGGUGUAGCGGUGGAAUGCGCAGAUAUCAGGAGGAACACCAAUAGCGAAGGCAGCUCGCUGGGACGUUACUGACACUGAGGCGCGAAAGCGUGGGGAGCGAACAGG